Molecule: long non-coding RNA, 1134 nt
Filed under: Salmo salar (Atlantic salmon)
Lineage: Eukaryota; Metazoa; Chordata; Actinopteri; Salmoniformes; Salmonidae
Description: lncRNA (ENSSSAG00000055561.2, ENSSSAG00020077345.1)
Source: RNAcentral
UCCGGUCCUCAAAGGAGAUCUGUUGUAUUUGUUCUUGUGCUUUUGAAUCUAACCAUUAAGAAAACUGUGGGAGACCAACUCCCAACUUCCACACAUGACCCCAAGAUGACUGAAGCUCAAACCACCCAACCCACCACAACCAUCAGCAAACUGUAUCCUAUAUGCACAACCAGGUCAAAGACUGAAAACAGCCAAACCAUUCACACCACCACUGUCCCUCCAGACCGCAACAAAGAAGUCUUACAUCCUACAUCCCAGACUAGGGGAGAAUACACCAGAGCUCAAGAUUACAUCGCAAACAUUUCCUCUACACUCAAGACUGAGAGAAACAACACGGAAGAUAUGAACGUCACCCCUUCUUUCAAGAAUGAGAUAGUGAACUAUAGUGAUGUCUUACCAACAUCUCAGACCAAUGGAAACCAAACUCAAGAUGAGGGCAAGGACUUUGAUGACCAAGGCUCCAUUGCCUCCGUUAUGACCCAAACUGAGAACUAUAAUAUCACCACAGAGCAUACCACUACAGCUACUGCAAGAUCCACCAUAUCCACAAUGGGAGGCAUGACUGUAAAUGCUGCUUUAACUGGGAAGAAGAAGAGGUCUUGUAAAAUAUUUAGCUGCAUCGGCAUAACAUGCUACAAACAUAUGAAGGCCAUGGAGGAGUUGUGUGAGGAGGGUAUGGACUUCUGUGAGCUCAAGAAAACCUCAAGCCAGGUCACCUGGAAUACAUACGUGGCGGUGUGGAAUGCAGGAUGCGCCAGAGACUGCAGACAGAGUACUAAGUGUGGUCUCUUCAGCUUGUACCAAUGCCACAAUGAGUGUUGUGUGGCUGGGUCUGUCUCCUGUCUCAGACUGGAUGGUUCUCUCAACAUGCCUGUCAACUCUGCCUGCUGUGGCCUGGGGAGUCUCUCCCUCCUGGCUCUGAGUGUAACCUCUCUACUGGCCAGUCUACUCAACACUCGCUAAUCUACUAAACUUCCUGUGACAUUAGACUCACUUUAGAAUACAGAGGGUUUAGUAUGGAUCGACUAAAUGCAUAUUUCAGUUUUGUCAUAUCCACUGCUUGGGCGUCAUUAGUUCUUUCAUGUUUUCUUCGUCUGUGAAUGCAAGCUCUCAUGAAAAUAAAACUGUUUUCCA